This is a long non-coding RNA of Astatotilapia calliptera (eastern happy), 2099 nucleotides long. NCBI's taxonomy places the organism in Eukaryota, Metazoa, Chordata, Actinopteri, Cichliformes, Cichlidae. The record is from Ensembl.
AGCUGUUUUCUCAUUUAACUUUUAUUUGUGCAAAGCAGUAAAUUUACAGCCAAAGUCAUUUCUGUGUCGCUGCAGUUCACCUGAAACCUUUAAGUAUGCUCGUAGGUGGGGCUGCUCUUCACACAAAACAACAUCGUUGUAUAAAAAAGGUGGAUUGAAUCAACACAAAGUACAUUCACAGUAACAACAGUAAUGUAAAAGGUUUUCAUUAGUUAUAGUUAAGUAAUGUUUUCUAUAUAGUUUAGUGAACAGUGCCAAAAAGAAACAGAAACAGGAGUGAAGGUUUUUGUUCCCCUGCAAGGGUUUAAUUACAGUUGGAUUAGAAGAACCAAUUAAAGACUCAUUUUAGUUCCUUUGGUCCAAAAUGUGCAUAAAACCUAAAGUAACGAGUACAGAAUGUUAAAUACUUGUAAGUUGUGAUGUUGGUUUUUUCAAUAUGGAAUGUAAGAACACACAAAACAUCACAAUACUGAGAGACAGCAUGUACAGCAAUGAAAGGUCAGGGCAAAUUUCAACAAAUUAAAGACAACUUCAAGUAAAGACGGAGUACAAGAAAUGAUCGAGAAAACAGAAAAACAAGUACUGUAACGCUUUGAAUUUGAAUAUUUAUCGAGUAUAAUCCACUGCUCGCAGACCUUAAGUCUCAUUGUAUCAAAAUUUCACUACACCUAAAAAAAAGAAAAUAUAGUAACUGUACAAAAGUACACCUGCAUGUAAAAUAAAGUCACAGUUCGUCACCUCCUAAAACUGUCCUCAAAAGUGCCACAGUAGACAUUCAAACACCUCUGCAUGCUUCUGCUGUCAAAUGUUUAGUGUAGAGAAAAGUUCAGCUUCCCCAUCAACAGGUUCCCUCCACUGGGAAACGCAGCAUUCGCCAGGGUCCCAUUUUCAGUUUGGCUGCUUCCACAGCGCCUUUGUGGUAGCUGUACGACUUUAUUUGUAGCAGCACGAUCACAUUUUUCAAAUCUGGGGUCAAAGUAGGAUCUAACAGAAGAAUCCUUGGGUCACAUUUUGGACUGGCUUUUGGUAAACGCCCACAUCCGAACAGAGAUUUUACAAUCAUGGACAAUCACACACUUACUGAUGCUGCUUAUAGUCUAGUUAACAAGGUCAUAAAGGACAGCCAUCGACCCCAACCACCAAGUCCCUUUCGACCAGUCUAGGGUUAGCUUUUGCUUUGGGCACAACUAAUCCUCAGUGAUGAUCUGAAACCUCGCUUGUGUUUAACUUUAAACUGUUGUCCAAAGUGUUGGGAUUCAGGGAAGCGAGAAUAAUCAUUUUAACUGACAUGCAUUAAAAACUAUUUCCAUUUUUUUCCUAUUGCUUUUCUCCAAAACAAGAGUGAGGAUUCAUACCGAGGGCUGGAGUCACCACCACCGCCAAUGACACCUCCUUUACAUUUUCAGAAACCAGAUUUAGAUCAGGUCUCAUACAUUUUAGGAUUGAAAGCUAUAAACCUGUUAGAAGGAUUGUCUUUCUACAAAAAGGUCAAAGUCUACAGCGGGGUGGGCUUUGAUUAAACCCAACGCUGACGCCUAAGCCUAGACGGGUGGCCAACGACCUGAUGAUGUUAAAAGGUUAAUAAAGUCGAUAUACUAAGAGUUGGUAACGAGGUCGAAAACGAUGUCAGCAGGAGUCCUUGUGUUACAUUAAUAGUGUAUAUUGAUUUUUUUUAAUGGAAAGCUUUGUUGUCAUUGUCAGUCUAGCAGGCACUGCUAUGCCCAUGGUACCAAUUACAGUAUGAAGAGGUACAGAAAUAACAGGAAGAUCAUUUUUCACAAUGUCAUUUAAAGGCAUGAAAAAUGAUGCCCCACCACUGAUUGGUAUGCAAUAGCAAAAUACUGCAAUGAUGCAAUUACAACUAAUCAGGGUGAGGUAGAACUUGGCUGGUCUCAGGAUGUCUGCAUGAUCUCUUUGUGCCACGUCUCUAUAUCAAACCUCUAUAUCACCACCUAAAAGUAGCACCUCAGAGGGAAGCUUGACAUACACAGGACAGUGUUUGUCUGCUGCACUGCUGCAUUUCUACCCUCACUCAAGCAGACAGUGGCCAUAAUGUGCGCUUGGACGUGACUCACAUCAGUGACUCAGCUCUUGGAAAC